This is a non-coding RNA of Dipodomys ordii (Ord's kangaroo rat), 65 nucleotides long. NCBI's taxonomy places the organism in Eukaryota, Metazoa, Chordata, Mammalia, Rodentia, Heteromyidae. The record is from Rfam.
GGUGGCUCAGUGGUAGAGUGCUUGCCUUCCAUGCAUGAGGACAUGGGUUCGAUUCCUCAGCACCA